AUUGAACGCUGGCGGCAGGCCUAACACAUGCAAGUCGAGCGAGCGGCGGACGGGUGAGUAAUGUAUGGGGACUGCCCGAUAGAGUGGGAUAACUACUGGAAACGGUAGCUAAUACCGCAUACUAUCGGAUAACCCAUAUGGGAUUAGCUAGUAGGUGAGUUAAUGGCUCACCUAGGCGACGAGCCCUAGCUGGUCUGAGAGGAUGAUCAGCCAAACUGGGAGUGAGACACGGCCGAGACUCCUACGGAGGCAGCAGUGGGGAAUAUUGAACAAGGGGCGCAAGCAUGAUGCAGCCAGGCCGCGUGUAUGAAGAAGGCCCUAGGGUUGUAAAGUACUUUCAGUCGGGAGGCGUUACCGACAGAAGAGGCACCGGCUAACUCCGUGCCAGCAGCCGCGGUAAUUC
RNAcentral lists this ribosomal RNA (403 nucleotides) under uncultured bacterium. RNAcentral's name for it is "partial 16S ribosomal RNA". It matches the Rfam family "Bacterial small subunit ribosomal RNA", at positions 30 to 526 of the family's 1533-position model. The record is from RNAcentral.